This 254-nucleotide ribosomal RNA is filed under the name uncultured bacterium. RNAcentral's name for it is "partial 16S ribosomal RNA". It matches the Rfam family "Bacterial small subunit ribosomal RNA", at positions 524 to 776 of the family's 1533-position model. The record is from RNAcentral.
GACGGAGGGCGCAAGCGUUGUUCGGAAUCACUGGGCGUAAAGCGCGCGCAGGCGGGUGCGGAAGUCGGGGGUGAAAGGCCGGGGCUCAACCCUGGAUCGUUCUCUCGAUACUCCGUGCCUAGGGACCGGUAGAGGCCAGUAGAAUUCCCGGAGUAGCGGUGGAAUGCGUAGAUAUCGGGAAGAACACCAGAGGCGAAGGCGACUGGCUGGGCCGGAUCCGACGCUCAGGCGCGAAAGCGUGGGGAGCAAACAGG